AUUGAACGCUGGCGGCAGGCCUAACACAUGCAAGUCGAGCGGAUGAAGGGAGCUUGCUCCUGGAUUCAGCGGCGGACGGGUGAGUAAUGCCUAGGAAUCUGCCUGGUAGUGGGGGAUAACGUCCGGAAACGGGCGCUAAUACCGCAUACGUCCUGAGGGAGAAAGGGGGGGAUCUUCGGACCUCACGCUAUCAGAUGAGCCUAGGUCGGAUUAGCUAGUUGGUGGGGUAAAGGCCUACCAAGGCGACGAUCCGUAACUGGUCUGAGAGGAUGAUCAGUCACACUGGAACUGAGACACGGUCCAGACUCCUACGGGAGGCAGCAGUGGGGAAUAUUGGACAAUGGGCGAAAGCCUGAUCCAGCCAUGCCGCGUGUGUGAAGAAGGUCUUCGGAUUGUAAAGCACUUUAAGUUGGGAGGAAGGGAAGUAAGUUAAUACCUUGCUGUUUUGACGUUACCAACAGAAUAAGCACCGGCUAACUUCGUG
This 484-nucleotide ribosomal RNA is filed under the name uncultured bacterium. Its description in RNAcentral is "partial 16S ribosomal RNA". It matches the Rfam family "Bacterial small subunit ribosomal RNA", at positions 30 to 507 of the family's 1533-position model. The record is from RNAcentral.